This 413-nucleotide ribosomal RNA is filed under the name uncultured bacterium. Its description in RNAcentral is "bacterial SSU rRNA". It matches the Rfam family "Bacterial small subunit ribosomal RNA", at positions 358 to 774 of the family's 1533-position model. The record is from RNAcentral.
GGAAUAUUCCACAAUGGGCGAAAGCCUGAUGGAGCGACGCCGCGUGAGUGAAGAAGGGCUUCGGCUCGUAAAGCUCUUUUCUCAUUGACGAAUUAGUCUUCGGGACAGUUGACGGUAGAUGGGGAAUAAGCCACGGCUAACUACGUGCCAGCAGCCGCGGUAAUACGUAGGUGGCAAGCGUUGUCCGGAAUUAUUGGGCGUAAAGGGAGCGCAGGCGGGACGGUAAGUCCAAAUUAAAAGUGCAGUAGUAAUGACUGUGAUGGUUUGGAAACUAUCGUUCUUGAGAGCAGGAGAGGCAAGCGGAAUUCCCAGUGUAGCGGUGAAAUGCGUAGAUAUUGGGAGGAACACCAGUGGCGAAGGCGGCUUGCUGGACUGAGUCUGACGCUGAGGCUCGAAAGCCAGGGUAGCGAACG